RNAcentral lists this ribosomal RNA (1131 nucleotides) under Triticum aestivum (bread wheat). RNAcentral's name for it is "partial small subunit ribosomal RNA". Lineage: Eukaryota; Viridiplantae; Streptophyta; Magnoliopsida; Poales; Poaceae. The record is from RNAcentral.
AUGGCUUCCAACGUCGACCUCGCGGACCGCUUCGAUGUCUCUGGGCCGACGCACAUCAUGUCUCGAUCCGGCGCCGGCCCUUCUUCUCCAACGAUGAUUGACUGGAACAAUGAGGAGGAUCGUCGGUGCGUGGCCGCCUGCGUCGUGAAGGGCACCUACAUCCUCGAGAACGACAGAACCAUGUGCAGGGUGCACGCGGAGGCGCUGGCUCCGCCGUGGUGGGAGAGCUUCCACUUCCGCCUCAGCGGCGUGCUCACGGAGGAAUCCUUCAGGCGCAAGUGCGACAAGCUCAUCUUCGGCGCCAUCUAUGAGAACGUCCCCGUGGCGGGCGGACGCCGCCACCCUUCUGCUCCGCAGUACAUCGUGGCCUUCCGAGGGACUAUGCUGCCGCAUCCCAAGGCGAUACACGACCUGUUCCUCGACUUCAAGAUCAUGGCCAACACGCUCUCGGACUCCAAGCGCUCCGAGCUCGCGCACCGGUCCGUGGACACGCUCCUCGCGACCAUCGCCAGGGGCAAAGCCGGCUCCGAAGGCAGCGGCGUCGUGUGGCUCGCGGGGCACUCUCUCGGCGCGUCGCUGGCGCUGGAGGUGGGGCGGACCAUGAUGGCGGAGCAGGGCCGCAGCCUCCCGACCUUCCUCUUCAACCCGCCGCACGUGUCGCCCAUUCCGGCGAUCAACGUGAUGCUCCCGUCGGAGGGGGUGAGGAGGGAACUGCUCGCCAAGAGCAACCUCGUCAAGGCCGGGCUCGGGCUGGUCCUCAGCCCCCAUCGGAAGCGCAUGGAGAGGUUGUUUGAGCGGCUGUCCCCGUGGGCGCCAAACCUGUACGUGCACGAGAGGGACGUCAUCUGCCAGGGCUUCAUCGGCUACUUCGAGCAGCGGCAGCAGCUGGAGGAGCGCUGCCGUGGCGCCAAGUCGGCCACCACGCUGUCGUACCGCGACAUGCUCUUCUCCGCGCUCGGCAAGGAGAAAGAGCGGCCGCACCUCCUGCCAUCCGCGACGCUCUGGAAGAACUCGAGCAUGGACAGAAACGCCAACUUACUCCAGCAGUCGUUGGCCGCACACGAGCUCCAGCAGUGGUGGAAAUCGGACGCCGACCUCAGGCUGAGCAACAGACGUUAUAGCUUCGCUUGA